RNAcentral lists this ribosomal RNA (250 nucleotides) under uncultured prokaryote. Its description in RNAcentral is "partial 16S ribosomal RNA". It matches the Rfam family "Bacterial small subunit ribosomal RNA", at positions 524 to 773 of the family's 1533-position model. The record is from RNAcentral.
UACGAAGGGGGCUAGCGUUGUUCGGAAUUACUGGGCGUAAAGCGCACGUAGGCGGACAUUUAAGUCAGGGGUGAAAUCCCGGGGCUCAACCCCGGAACUGCCUCUGAUACUGGGUGUCUUGAGUUCGAGAGAGGUGAGUGGAAUUGCGAGUGUAGAGGUGAAAUUCGUAGAUAUUCGCAGGAACACCAGUGGCGAAGGCGGCUCACUGGCUCGAUACUGACGCUGAGGUGCGAAAGCGUGGGGAGCAAAC